UACGUAGGGUGCGAGCGUUGUCCGGAAUUAUUGGGCGUAAAGAGCUCGUAGGCGGUCUGUCGCGUCGGUCGUGAAAACCUGCAGCUUAACUGUGGGCUUGCGGUCGAUACGGGCAUGACUGGAGUUCGGCAGGGGAGACUGGAAUUCCGUGGUGAUAGCGGUGAAAUGCGCAGAUAGUCAGGAGGAACACCCGGUGGCGAAGGCGGGUCUCUGGGCCGAUACUGACGCUGGAGGAGCGAAAGCGUGGGAGCGAACAGG
RNAcentral lists this ribosomal RNA (258 nucleotides) under uncultured bacterium. RNAcentral's name for it is "partial 16S ribosomal RNA". It matches the Rfam family "Bacterial small subunit ribosomal RNA", at positions 524 to 776 of the family's 1533-position model. The record is from RNAcentral.